CGCGGGAUAGAGCAGCCCGGUAGCUCGUCAGGCUCAUAACCUGAAGGUCGGUGGUUCAAAUCCAUAUCCCGCAACCA
Molecule: transfer RNA, 77 nt
Filed under: Alphaproteobacteria bacterium
Lineage: Bacteria; Pseudomonadati; Pseudomonadota; Alphaproteobacteria
Description: tRNA-Met
Rfam family: tRNA
About the family: Transfer RNA (tRNA) molecules are approximately 80 nucleotides in length. Their secondary structure includes four short double-helical elements and three loops (D, anti-codon, and T loops).
Source: RNAcentral